UGAAAUAGUGUCAUCAGAACCCCUUAUCCCUGCUGUGUGUUGAGUUUUAUAUUUAAUAGAGAUGGCCAGAUUGCUGCCACACAGCCUGACCAAUGCUGUCCUGCUUAAACUUGGGUUUCAAACCUGCAAAAAGCAAGCCUGCCCUAUUCCUCUGCUUUCUACUCAGUGUGGUUACACAAGCUAACCAGCUCCCUGAACCUCUCUGCAACAAGGCAUUCAAGCUUCUGACAGUCUUCCGGACCUCUCCACUGAACUCUCAACAGUUAAUCUCUCUUACACUGGAAAACAACUCCAGAGUUAGUUUCCCAAGUGCCACAUGGAUGGGAGAAAUCACAUCUCUCAGCUGCUACCUAAAACUUUGCUAAUACAAUCUCAUAUGCAGACUUCAUUGCUCUAAGGCUAUGCUGCUGAUUGCCAUGUAGUGCGACUCCCUUUACGUUACUGGCAUAGCUUUACUCCAGUCAGAUGGACCCUGGUUUGUACUAUCACAAAGGAUUACUCCAUCAGCACAAAAACAACUUCAACUUCACAUAUGUAACAUGAGGAAAUGCACAGCAAUAACAGCAGAAGAGCAAGGUCCUAGGCUGCUGCAAAUAAGAAUUUGCUCAAAUACAACAGCCAUAGGCUCCGAAAUAAAAGAAAGUAUUUCAAAGACA
Molecule: non-coding RNA, 656 nt
Organism: Coturnix japonica (Japanese quail)
Lineage: Eukaryota; Metazoa; Chordata; Aves; Galliformes; Phasianidae
Source: RefSeq, a predicted model, not a curated record